GGGGGAAUAUUGGGCAAUGGGCGCAAGCCUGACCCAGCAACGCCGCGUGAAGGAAGAAGGCCCUCGGGUUGUAAACUUCUUUUUGUCAGGGACGAAGAAAGUGACGGUACCUGACGAAUAAGCCACGGCUAACUACGUGCCAGCAGCCGCGGUAAUACGUAGGUGGCAAGCGUUAUCCGGAUUUACUGGGUGUAAAGGGCGUGUAGGCGGGACUGCAAGUCAGAUGUGAAAACCAGAGGCUCAACCUCUGGCCUGCAUUUGAAACUGUAGUUCUUGAGUGCCGGAGAGGUAAGCGGAAUUCCUAGUGUAGCGGUGAAAUGCGUAGAUAUUAGGAGGAACACCAGUGGCGAAGGCGGCUUACUGGACGGUAACUGACGUUGAGGCUCGAAAGCGUGGGGAGCAAACAGGAUUAGAUACCC
Molecule: ribosomal RNA, 419 nt
Filed under: uncultured bacterium
Lineage: Bacteria
Description: bacterial SSU rRNA
Rfam family: Bacterial small subunit ribosomal RNA
Source: RNAcentral